GGAUCCUUUCACUCCCACCUUUACCCGGCGGCCACAGCCGUGAGUGAAUCCAGCGGAAGGACCUCGGGACGAUGCGGAGUCCUACAGGUGAGGUUCAGAUGGGCUUGGUCAAGUGGACCAACUACCAGCU
RNAcentral lists this long non-coding RNA (130 nucleotides) under Urocitellus parryii (Arctic ground squirrel). Its description in RNAcentral is "lncRNA (ENSUPAG00010007171.1)". Lineage: Eukaryota; Metazoa; Chordata; Mammalia; Rodentia; Sciuridae. The record is from RNAcentral.